RNAcentral lists this ribosomal RNA (468 nucleotides) under uncultured bacterium. Its description in RNAcentral is "bacterial SSU rRNA". It matches the Rfam family "Bacterial small subunit ribosomal RNA", at positions 28 to 507 of the family's 1533-position model. The record is from RNAcentral.
GAUGAACGCUGGCGGCGUGCUUAACACAUGCAAGUCGAACGGACUUUACAUGAAACCUAGUGAUUGUAAAGUUAGUGGCGGACGGGUGAGUAACGCGUGGGUAACCUGCCUUGUACAGGGGGACAACAGUUGGAAACGACUGCUAAUACCGCAUAAGCGCACGGAGCUGCAUGGCUCAGUGUGAAAAACUCUGGUGGUACAAGAUGGACCCGCGUCUGAUUAGCUAGUUGGUGAGGUAACGGCCCACCAAGGCGACGAUCAGUAGCCGGCCUGAGAGGGUGAACGGCCACAUUGGGACUGAGACACGGCCCAAACUCCUACGGGAGGCAGCAGUGGGGAAUAUUGCACAAUGGGGGAAACCCUGAUGCAGCGACGCCGCGUGAGUGAAGAAGUAUUUCGGUAUGUAAAGCUCUAUCAGCAGGGAAGAAAAUGACGGUACCUGACUAAGAAGCCCCGGCUAACUACGUG